Molecule: unclassified non-coding RNA, 209 nt
Filed under: soil metagenome
Description: partial contains 5.8S ribosomal RNA, internal transcribed spacer 2, and large subunit ribosomal RNA
Source: RNAcentral
AACAUCGCGCACCUGCGGGAACCUGCGGAAGGAUCAUUACCGAGUUAUACAACUCAUCAACCCUGUGAACAUACCUAUAACGUUGCCUCGGCGGGAACAGACGGCCCCGUAACACGGGCCGCCCCCGCCAGAGGACCCCCUAACUCUGUUUCUAUAAUGUUUCUUCUGAGUAAACAAGCAAAUAAAUUAAAACUUUUAACAAUGGAUCU